This is a long non-coding RNA of Maniola jurtina (meadow brown), 95 nucleotides long. RefSeq lists it as uncharacterized. NCBI's taxonomy places the organism in Eukaryota, Metazoa, Arthropoda, Insecta, Lepidoptera, Nymphalidae. The record is from RefSeq and is a predicted model, not a curated record. The transcript has 3 exons.
UUUAAACGAGGCAAACAUUGUCUGUCCUUUUCGUAUUACCUUGGUAAGAAAAAGAUACGAAUACUCCAAAAUUUACUUACGACCAGAAUCAGUAU